This 1260-nucleotide ribosomal RNA is filed under the name uncultured soil bacterium. RNAcentral describes it as "partial 16S ribosomal RNA". It matches the Rfam family "Bacterial small subunit ribosomal RNA", at positions 34 to 1312 of the family's 1533-position model. The record is from RNAcentral.
CGCUGGCGGCCGUGCCUAAUACAUGCAAGUCGAGCGGUAAGGUCCCUCCAGGUUGCUUAAACGAAAGUUUGAGGAACGCGGUGGGAUACACGAGCGGCGGACGGCUGAGUAACGCGUAGGAACGUACCCCAAACUGAGGGAUAAGCACCAGAAAUGGUGUCUAAUACCGCAUGUGAUCUCCGGAUUAAAGCUUCGGCGGUUUGGGAACGGCCUGCGUACGAUUAGAUAGUUGGUAGGGUAAUGGCCUACCAAGUCGACGAUCGUUAGCUGGUCUGAGAGGAUGAUCAGCCAGACUGGGACUGAGAACGGCCCAGACUCCUACGGGAGGCAGCAGUAGGGAAUUUUCCACAAUGGGGGCAACCCUGAUGGAGCAACGCCGCGUGCAGGAUGAAUGCCUUCGGGUUGUAAACUGCUUUUAUAUGUGACGAAUAUGACGGUAGCAUAUGAAUAAGGAUCGGCUAACUCCGUGCCAGCAGCCGCGGUCAUACGGAGGAUCCAAGCGUUAUCCGGAAUUACUGGGCGUAAAGAGUUGCGUAGGUGGCACUGUGUGUCAGUAGUGAAAGCGAGGGGCUCAACCAUAUAUACAUUACUGAAACUGCAGAGCUAGAGGGCGAGAGANGUUACUGGAAUUCCCAGUGUAGGAGUGAAAUCCGUAGAUAUUGGGAGGAACACCGAUGGCGUAGGCAGGUAACUGGCUCGUCCCUGACACUAAGGCACAAAGCGNGGGGAGCAAACGGGAUWAGAUACCCCGGUAGUCCCCCGCNGUAAACGAUGAAUGCUAGCUGUUAAAUNUAUCGNCCCCUGUAGUAGCGAAGNUAACGCGUUAAGCAUUCCNCCUGUGGAGUACGGUCGCAAGANUAAAACAUAAAGGAAUUGNCGGGGNCCCGCNCAANCGGUGGAGNGUGUUGUUUAAUUCGAUGGUAAACNAAGACCUUUACCCAGGCUUGACAUCNUCGGAAUUUUGUCNAAANACNAGAGUGCNUUCGGGANCCNAGUGNCAGGUGUUGCAUGNCCGUCGUCAGNUCGUGUCGUGANAUGUUUGGUUGAGUCCAUCAACGAGCGCANCCCUUAUAGUCUGUUGUAUUUUUCAGGNUAGACUGCCCCGGUAACGGGGAGNAAGGGGGGGAUNAUGUCAGGUCAGUAUUACCCUUACGUUUGGGGCUACAAACACGNUACNAUGGCCGGUACAAAGGGCAGCCAANUCGCGAGACGGAGCAAAUCCCAUCAAAGCCGGUUUCAGUUGGGAAGCAGGNUAAACUU